This 490-nucleotide ribosomal RNA is filed under the name uncultured bacterium. Its description in RNAcentral is "partial 16S ribosomal RNA". It matches the Rfam family "Bacterial small subunit ribosomal RNA", at positions 30 to 507 of the family's 1533-position model. The record is from RNAcentral.
AUUGAACGCUGGCGGCAGGCCUAACACAUGCAAGUCGAACGGUAACAGGAAGAAGCUUGCUUCUUUGCUGACGAGUGGCGGACGGGUGAGUAAUGUCUGGGAAACUGCCUGAUGGAGGGGGAUAACUACUGGAAACGGUAGCUAAUACCGCAUAACGUUGCAAGACCAAAGAGGGGGACCUUCGGGCCUCUUGCCAUCGGAUGUGCCCAGAUGGGAUUAGCUAGUAGGUGGGGUAACGGCUCACCUAGGCGACGAUCCCUAGCUGGUCUGAGAGGAUGACCAGCCAACCUGGAACUGAGAAACGGUCCAGACUCCUACGGGAGGCAGCAGUGGGGAAUAUUGCACAAUGGGCGCAAGCCUGAUGCAGCCAUGCCGCGUGUAUGAAGAAGGCCUUCGGGUUGUAAAGUACUUUCAGCGGGGAGGAAGGGAGUAAAGUUAAUACCUUUACUCAUUGACGUUACCCGCAGAAGAAGCACCGGCUAACUCCGUG